UAAUACUAGGGGUGCGAGCGUUGUCCGGAAUCACUGGGCGUAAAGGGUCCGUAGGCGUCCCAAAAAGUCAUCUGUUAAAUACACCGGCUUAACCGGUGGUCUGCAUUUGAAACUGUUGGGAUAGAGUAUAGGAGAGGAAAGUGGAAUUCCUGGUGUAGCGGUGACAUGCGUAGAUAUCAGGAGGAACACCAAUGGCGAAGGCAGCUUUCUAGCCUAUUACUGACGCUGAGGGACGAAAGCGUGGGGAGCGAACAGGAUUAGAUACCCUGGUAGUCCACGCCGUAAACGAUGAGUACUUGGUGUCGGGGGAAUCGACCCCCUCGGUACCGGAGCUAACGCAUUAAGUACUCCGCCUGGGAACUACGACCGCAAGGUUG
Molecule: ribosomal RNA, 377 nt
Filed under: uncultured Deferribacteres bacterium
Lineage: Bacteria; Pseudomonadati; Deferribacterota; Deferribacteres
Description: bacterial SSU rRNA
Rfam family: Bacterial small subunit ribosomal RNA
Source: RNAcentral